This 1461-nucleotide long non-coding RNA is filed under the name Mytilus galloprovincialis (Mediterranean mussel). The record is from RNAcentral. Lineage: Eukaryota; Metazoa; Mollusca; Bivalvia; Mytilida; Mytilidae.
CUUUAGGCACGUGCCUACACAUAUUUUUUCACAAACAUUUUUUUUUUAUUUAAAAAAUGAUAAACAACGUUAUAUGUAGAAGAACUCCAGUGAAGUUGUCACAACUCUAAUUAUCGAAUGUCAUGUGUACACUAGUCUUUCGUCCUUAGUGAAUGUCGGAAUAUUGGAUAGAAUUGAAUGUAUUUUUAUGUGUGUACCUUAUUUAGAAACUAUAAACUAGAACUUUGGUUCAGAUCAUUUCAAUUCUAUCAACAAAAACUUAAAUGAACCUCAACUUAGACACAUGAAUCUUUGAUUAGUUGUUGUUAGUUUUCAACUAGCUUUCCACUUUGUCUUCACCCGACUUGCCAAUGUUGGUCGUCCGUUUGUCUGUGCAGGAUGUAUAAAUACGUAGUCACGUCUGGUCAGAAUGGGGACAUUUAAUCUUAUGCCUAGUUCUAGAGAGAAUACCACUCUUUGGGGAGUUCGUAGUUGAUCUACUGAAAGGCAAAGUUUCUGCUCCUAUCCAAUAAAUCCCUUUUUCCAAUGCAUGGUAUUUUCAAAUUUCCAGACCAUCGUCCUGUACAACACCUAUUACAGGACUAAGCUCCCUGUUGUGUUUUAUGUAAAUAAUCAUUUUUUUUUUUUUUUUUUUUUUGUUCUAAACCUGCAUAAAUAUUUUACACUGGAUGUUUAAAAAUCAAUCUAUCAACUAGCUUCCAGUAGUUUUGAGUACUCUCAGAUCUACGUGUAAUGACCACAAUUAUUCAAAUUCCUAAGCAGGUAGGGAUUUUACAGUAGAGCGGGAUAUAAGAAAUACAAAUUUCUUGAAUUUUGUUACGUUAGUAUGAACAGAACAGAACUUUUGCAUUAGCAUCAACUAUGUGUUUGUGUGGCUAGGGUGAAGGUUAAAGAAUCAAAAGAUUGAUGAUUGAUGUCUUUCUGGCCAAAAGGAUAGUGUUAUUAUAUAGUAAUAUCAGUGUUAACGUACACGUGCCUAUUUUUUUCAAUGAAGGAUCGUCAAUAUAUAAUAUGUACUAUCAAUUAAGUUAAACGUAUAUCAUGUAUAUAUCGAUCAUAACGGAAUAGAUUUGAAAAUACCAAACAGGGUGUACUGCUUAAUUAAAGGGAUACGCGGAUCUAUGCUGGGCAGUACAUAUUGUAAAUAUUUUUUUUAAUAUUUGAUUUUCUAAUUGUACUGCGUUAUUUAAUUCACCAUUCAGAUGUUAUGGUAAAUUAUUCAUAAUUCUUUUAAAUUUUCAUCAUGUAUAUUAUUAUAAUUAUCAUGAUUAAAUAACCAGAAAAUUUAAUAUUUUUGUGCAUAAAAUUUUGCAGCCAAAACGCUGAAAUCAGUUUUCUGUCGGGGCUUUGCCCCCUGAACCCCCUACCAGGCUCUGUCCUGGACCUGCUGGGGGCCUUAUGCGGCCCCCAGACCCCAUGCCGAUUUGUGCCUACAGUUGAAUUAACACCUAGCUACGCCCC